AACGAACGCUGGCGGCAGGCCUAACACAUGCGAGUCGAGCGCGCCCUUCGGGGUGAGCGGCGGACGGGUGAGUAACGCGUGGGAACGUGCCCUUUUCUACGGAAUAGCCUCGGGAAACUGAGAGUAAUACCGUAUACGCCCUUUGGGGGAAAGAUUUAUCGGAAAAGGAUCGGCCCGCGUUGGAUUAGGUAGUUGGUGGGGUAAUGGCCUACCAAGCCGACGAUCCAUAGCUGGUUUGAGAGGAUGAUCAGCCACACUGGGACUGAGACACGGCCCAGACUCCUACGGGAGGCAGCUGUGGGGAAUCUUAGACAAUGGGGGCAACCCUGAUCUAGCCAUGCCGCGUGAGUGAUGAAGGCCUUAGGGUUGUAAAGCUCUUUCAGCUGGGAAGAUAAUGACGGUACCAGCAGAAGAAGCCCCGGCUAACUCCGUG
RNAcentral lists this ribosomal RNA (433 nucleotides) under uncultured bacterium. RNAcentral describes it as "partial 16S ribosomal RNA". It matches the Rfam family "Bacterial small subunit ribosomal RNA", at positions 29 to 507 of the family's 1533-position model. The record is from RNAcentral.